UAAUUAAGUACAAAGUUGUAACGGAUUUCUCGCAAAAAGAUUCUGGAGGACGACUGUUUUCUGAAUGAUUGAUGCUUGAUUACCAUGAGUGCUCUGUCUUUCAUCUCUCUAAUUUCCUCUAAAUCUCUCUCUCUCCCUCUACCUUAUCUCCUUAUCUUUGUUCAUUCUCUUCCUGUGCAUUGCAAUUAUUAAACCAUCUGAUGGUUUUUGGUACUUAGCUGUUGCUUAGGCGAUAUUAUUUCGCCCCUGAGUUGUUAAUCUUGGGUGUUCACUAUUAAAAAAGGCUGGUUUGGAAAUUGACUACAUGAUCUAUUAGUUAUUUUCAAUUCAUCUUUAUGUCGGCUGUAUAAAUAUGAGUACUUGAGAAAUUUUAUUUAUAUGGAAUUGAAGUUCACAGGCCAGGAAUGAGAAUAUAUAAAGAGAGCUUUCUUGGUCGUGAUAUCUGAGAACCUUAUCUGUGAAAUGAUGAGAUGUUACUCAACUUUGCAGGAAUAUAUAUGGCCAUAGGGUUAGGCUAGCAACUCAUGCAAAUUUCAAAGAUUUUGUCCUUACUGCUGGGUUGGAGUUCUUUCCUUUAGGUGGAGAUCCAAAAGUUCUUGCCGAAUGGCACUCUCAUGUUGCUGAGGCACUAAAAAUACCGUUUCAUAUAUUUUUCACAAUGCCAUGGACGCCUACCAGUGAAUUCCCUCAUCCUCUAUCCCGUGUCAAGCAACAUAUUGGAUAUAGACUAUCAUAUCAAAUAGUUGAUGCAUUAAUUUGGCUAGGAAUUCGAGACAUGAUAAAUGAGUUUAGGAAGAAAAUGCUGAAGCUGAGACGUACCACAUAUUUAAGUGGAUACUAUAGUACUCCUCCUGACGUUCCCUAUGGGUAUAGAUGGAGUCCUCAUCUUGUUCCCAAACCUAAAGGGUAGAUAUAUACCACCUUGACCAACUAAGAAGACCCUCAGUUAGAGGGAGGAUGGAAGUAUUACUAGACUUGAACAUACAUAUACAAUGCAAGAAACAGGAUAGAAAACGACUGUAGUUGCUGAUGCAAAGAAUAAGCAAAGCCGGAGUUCACUCCAUUGGAAAAAUUUGGCUGGCAUUCCUGCCCAACCUAGCAACAAGGAGUGCGGGUACUUUAUCAUGCGAUACAUGAGAGAUAUCAUUGAGGAUAAAGACAUGUCAUUGUUUCCUUCCAAGUGGGAGAGGAGAGGCAGCAGCCAAUACACCUAAGUGGAUAUUGAUCAAGUGCGGAAUGAGUGGGGGAAGUUUGUUGUCAACACAUAUGUGCACGAGUCAUGAAGUAGCGCACUUGUUGCUGGUAUAUUUUAGAUAAGGAAAACAUCUUUUUUGUGCUUCUCUACUGGUACAUUGUCAUGCACCAUGUGUGGCAUGUUUUGGAACAAUAUAUAUGUGUAUCAGCUUUUUGAUAUCCCAAGUAGAUGGACAUGCACUACAAUGCUUGAAGUUUAAAGUAUUGGUUAUAUGA
This is an RNA transcript of Rosa rugosa (rugosa rose), 1470 nucleotides long. It is a transcript of the gene named sterol 3-beta-glucosyltransferase UGT80A2-like, with no coding region annotated. The transcript has 7 exons. NCBI's taxonomy places the organism in Eukaryota, Viridiplantae, Streptophyta, Magnoliopsida, Rosales, Rosaceae. The record is from RefSeq and is a predicted model, not a curated record.